AGCGAACGCUGGCGGCGUGCCUAACACAUGCAAGUCGAACGUGAAAGGGAGCAAUCCCAAGUAAAGUGGCGUACGGGUGAGUAACACGUAGGUAAUCUACCCCAGAAUCUGGAAUAACCGGCCGAAAGGCUGGCUAAUACUGGAUAGAGCGACGGAAUCCGUAAUUGGGUUUUUCGGGAAAGGGAGCCUGUUAAAAGGCCUUCGUUCUGGGAUGAGCCUGCGUCCCAUCAGCUAGUUGGUGAGGUAAAAGCUUAACAAGGCAAUGACGGGUAGCUGGUCCGGGAAGACGAUCAGCCACACUGGAACCGAAACACGGGCCAGGAUUCCAAGGGAGGGAGCAGGGGGGAAAUCUGCGGAAUGGAGGAAAGUCCGACGGAGCAACGCCGGGGGAGGGAAGGAGGCCUUCGGGUUGUAAAGAUCCGGCGAGUGGGGAGAAAAUGCUUUGAGUGCACAGAUGCAGGAAUUGACGGUACCAAUAAAGGAAGCACCGGCUAACUCCGUG
RNAcentral lists this ribosomal RNA (502 nucleotides) under uncultured bacterium. RNAcentral's name for it is "partial 16S ribosomal RNA". It matches the Rfam family "Bacterial small subunit ribosomal RNA", at positions 29 to 507 of the family's 1533-position model. The record is from RNAcentral.